Molecule: ribosomal RNA, 356 nt
Filed under: uncultured Saccharomycetes
Lineage: Eukaryota; Fungi; Ascomycota; Saccharomycetes
Description: eukaryotic LSU rRNA
Rfam family: Eukaryotic large subunit ribosomal RNA
Source: RNAcentral
AAUGGGUGGUAAAUUCCAUCUAAAGCUAAAUAUUGGCGAGAGACCGAUAGCGAACAAGUACCGUGAGGGAAAGAUGAAAAGCACUUUGGAAAGAGAGUUAAACAGUACGUGAAAUUGUUGAAAGGGAAACGAUUGAAGUCAGUCGUGUUCAUUGGACUCAGCCGGUUUUCGGUGUACUUCCUUUGAACGGGUCAACAUCAGUUUUGUCCGGUGGAUAAAGGCAGGAAGAAAGUGGCUUGCUUGCAAGUGUUAUAGCUUUCUGUCACAUACACUGGGGGAGACUGAGGACUGCAGCUCGCCUUUUGGCCGGGGUUCGCCCACGUUCGAGCUUAGGAUGUUGACAUAAUGGCUUUAAA